UGGGGAAUAUUGGACAAUGGGCGAAAGCCUGAUCCAGCCAUGCCGCGUGUGUGAAGAAGGUCUUCGGAUUGUAAAGCACUUUAAGUUGGGAGGAAGGGCAGUAAGCGAAUACCUUGCUGUUUUGACGUUACCGACAGAAUAAGCACCGGCUAACUCUGUGCCAGCAGCCGCGGUAAUACAGAGGGUGCAAGCGUUAAUCGGAAUUACUGGGCGUAAAGCGCGCGUAGGUGGUUCGUUAAGUUGAAUGUGAAAGCCCCGGGCUCAACCUGGGAACUGCUUCCAAAACUGGCGAGCUAGAAUAGGGCAGAGGGUGGUGAAAUUUCCUGUGUAGCGGUGAAAUGCGUAGAUAUAGGAAGGAACACCAGUGGCGAAGGCGACCACCUGGGCUCAUACUGACACUGAGGUGCGAAAGCGUGGGGAGCAAACAGG
This 429-nucleotide ribosomal RNA is filed under the name Pseudomonadota bacterium. RNAcentral describes it as "Proteobacteria bacterium partial 16S ribosomal RNA". It matches the Rfam family "Bacterial small subunit ribosomal RNA", at positions 355 to 776 of the family's 1533-position model. Lineage: Bacteria; Pseudomonadati; Pseudomonadota. The record is from RNAcentral.